AACGAACGCUGGCGGCACGCCUAAUACAUGCAAGUCGUACGAGAAAGUUGGGCAACCGAUGAGUACAGUGGCGCACGGGUGAGUAACACGUGGGUGACCUGCCCUUUAGAGUGGGAUAACAGGAAGAAGUUUCUGCUAAUACCACAUACGUUGAGAGAAAGUGAAAUUAUCUCAGGAAAGAUGGCGACCCUUUUAUUAGGAGCUAUCGCUAAAGGAAGGGCCUGCGGGCCAUAGCUAGUUGGUGGGGUAAAGGCCUACCAAGGCGAUGAUGGAUAGCCGGUCUGAGAGGAUGAUCGGCCACACUGGAACUGAGACACGGUCCAGACUCCUACGGGAGGCAGCAGUAGGGAAUCUUGCGCAAUGGGGCAACCCUGACGCAGCGAUGCCGCGUGAGUGAGGAAGGCC
RNAcentral lists this ribosomal RNA (405 nucleotides) under uncultured bacterium. RNAcentral's name for it is "bacterial SSU rRNA". It matches the Rfam family "Bacterial small subunit ribosomal RNA", at positions 29 to 416 of the family's 1533-position model. The record is from RNAcentral.